This 253-nucleotide ribosomal RNA is filed under the name uncultured bacterium. RNAcentral describes it as "partial 16S ribosomal RNA". It matches the Rfam family "Bacterial small subunit ribosomal RNA", at positions 524 to 776 of the family's 1533-position model. The record is from RNAcentral.
UACGUAGGUGGCAAGCGUUGUCCGGAAUUAUUGGGCGUAAAGCGCGCGCAGGCGGUCCUUUAAGUCUGAUGUGAAAGCCCACGGCUCAACCGUGGAGGGUCAUUGGAAACUGGGGGACUUGAGUACAGAAGAGAAGAGUGGAAUUCCACGUGUAGCGGUGAAAUGCGUAGAGAUGUGGAGGAACACCAGUGGCGAAGGCGACUCUUUGGUUUGUAACUGACGCUGAGGCGCGAAAGCGUGGGGAGCAAACAGG